Molecule: long non-coding RNA, 6686 nt
Filed under: Nicotiana tabacum (common tobacco)
Lineage: Eukaryota; Viridiplantae; Streptophyta; Magnoliopsida; Solanales; Solanaceae
Description: long non-coding RNA (NTAB_LNC018190)
Source: RNAcentral
UUUUUUUUUUUAGUUUUUCUUUUAGAACUCGUAGUAGAAAUAGUCUAGGUAAAAAAACGAAAAUUGACAAAAAAUUUAGAAAAAGUUCAGACUUUUCCCGACGAUGGAUCUUUUGGACAAUUUUCUUGAGGGAUAAAGUCCGAUUAAAAAUACCAAAAAGAUUUUUUUUAGGAUAGUUAGGUAGUAUCCUUCGGUUUUUCUUUAGGCACUAGUUUUUUUCCAAGAGUGUAGCUCGAACCGGGUACUUUAAUUUUUUUUAGGAGUAGUUUGGGAAGAAACUGAGUCGCUCCGAGAUCCUCAUUGACAUGGGUGAUGCUGGUACAUUAGGCUAUGACAUACAUUUCUGUUUUCCCCGUGUAUUUGGUUUGAAUUGUGAAGCCUAAGUAAAGUAAAUAGCCUAUUUUGUGACGCAUUUUCUCAUUUGUUUGACUCGUAUGCCUCAUAGUAUAAUAUUGUUUAAAUUUCUCAAUUAUGUGUGCUUGCUUGACUUGAGAGUUGAACAGAACCGUCUUGAUUGAGUCAUGUGCAACGUGUGUGUGAGGAUUUGUGCUUUUUUGUGCUAUCCUGUAUAGUCUAGAACUUGCCCCAUGUGUUAAUUGAAGCGAAAUUGUAAGUUGUGCUAAUCUAGGAGAUGACGUAGGCAUUUUCUUGUUUGAUCAUGAAUGUGCUUGUUACAAAAAAAUAAAAUUUUCUGUUGCUAGCUCCUUUGAGCCUAUAGACCUUUCUUUUGGAACCCACAUUACAAGCCAUGCUCCUAUUUUGUUCUUAAUUUGAUAUUGAUUGAACCUUUACCUCCUAAGGCACUUAGUCACUAAAAUAAAUAAGGUUAGAGAUUGGGGAGUAACUUUUGAGUGGAACCAUGGAAGGGCCCGUUGGUGCACUAAAGUUGAAAUCAAAAGUCACUAACCGAUGAACUUUAAUGUAUGGAGUGUAUGAAGAAAAGAAAAAAAAGAAAGGAAAAGAAGAAUUGCAAGAAAAGAGGAAAAAAAUGAUAGCUCAAAUAAUGUAGAAAAACACACACCUCCAAUUCUUAUUGAUUUGUGCUAGUGGAAAUAUAGAAGUGCUUAAUUGAAAAGAGGGCUAUGUUGCAUAUGGUUUGGGGCAAGUGAAUUGGUUGAGAAGAAUAUGUGCUUGAAUUGUGAAUGUAGUGUAUUAAAGUGCUUAGGAGGGAUAGUCACUAUUUCUAAUUGUACCAUACCUAUCCCUUAGCCUACAUUACAACCUUAAAGUCCUAAUNNNNNNNNNNNNNNNNNNNNNNNNNGUGAGCGAAUUGUUCAAUUGUGCGAUGUCCUUAAUCUAUAUUCAAAAGUAUAUUUGAAUGUGUGGACUGCUAUAUUCACUCUUUUGUUUGUUGGUAAGGGCACAUGAUCUCAUGAAUGAUUGGUAAUGUUGUAAACUUUCGUGUUGGGUAAGUGCAUGAAUUGAGGGUGCUUAGUGGUUGCAAGUCGACUUUUGAGGUUGGGUGGUGACAAAUAGGUUGUUGAAAUUGAUUGAAUUGAAGGGUUAUAUUUGGGCAUGCUUAAACAGGAAGAAUGUGAAAUUUUGUGUGUUCAUGCUUGUGUGUCGGUAUUGAUCAUAGUCAAGGGUAUAGUGUGUGGGGAAAAGUUAAAGUGCUCCUCUAUAAUUGAUAUUUGUACGUAGUUGGAGGUUUAUUAGAUAGUCCCAUUGCUCGAGGACGAGCAAGAGUCUAAGUAUGGGGUGUUGAUGUUUAGCUUAAAGUAUAUAUAUUUUUAUGUAUAUCGCCUCAUAUUUACUUUUGUUUGGUGAAUUUGGGAUGUUAAAUGCUAUGAUUUAUAUUAAUUUGAAGUGCUUUUACUUGUAGGAAUGAUUCGGGAGCAACUGGGGGCAAAACGCGCAAGAUUUGAGCUAAAACGAACAAAACCGAAAAAAGGUCAUUUGGGCACCACAGGCAGCACCUGGCGCCACCUGUGGCGCUGAAAACAGUGUGUGCAUUUUGGGCAGCGCCCUGGUGGGCGCCUGGCGCUACCCAGGGCGCCGGUGACGUGAUUUUGUCCAAUUUCGCCCGGGACAAGGUUAUUCCGGCCCUAGACUUACCCAACACAUAUAAAAGCAAAACUAAACAUAUUUUUGGAGAAAAAAGACGCCACUUUGGAGAUAUCUAACACACUUUGAAAGAGAAUUCACGUGGAGGAACACACACCACGCUUGGAGAAGGCUUCUAACUAGUUUUUCUUCUCUUCUCUUCUUUUAAUCUCAUAGUUUAUUAGCUCUAGAGUUUUGGGUGCUACAUGAACGUCGUAGUUUGAAGCUUGAAUUGUUCUUAUUAUUUUAUCAUAUUGGCUUAUUUAUUCAAUCUUGCGUUUAAUUAUUUGAUUGCUUGAUCACCAACUAAAUACUAUCUACGAAUCUAGGAUUGAACUCGGAGAGGAAAUUCUAGAUUACAUAUAAGAUUGAGUAGAGCAAGAUCUUAUCUCUGAGGGGGAGCGGAUUUGCGGUUAGUAUAGGAAUAUACCCAAUCGCCUUGCUUGGUUACUAUACAUGAAUUAUUAAUGUGUUCUUGUUAAUCUUAAUUCCAUAGCAAUAUAGGCGUUAGGUUAGCUUGAAUAGGCAUGUUGUACUUCAGGAGAAGGCUACGAGCAAUAUUAACUCUGUCAACCAAUAAACCAGAUAAAUUAAUUAGACGAUUUAAGUGAAAAACUCAACGGGAUUGUUAGCUAACCCAUAACUCUAGAAUAUUCACUCACAUUGACUUCGUCUCUAUAAUUUGCCAACUUGUUUUCUUUAAUCUCUUAAUUUGUUAUUCUAGAUUAAUUUUAGUUAAAUAUUCAUACGUUAGGAUUCGCUUGAAUAGAUUAAUUGUCUUAGUUUAAUUUAGUUGAUAGUAAUCACAAGUCCCUGUGGGUGCGAUAUCUGGACUUAUAAUCCUAUAUUACUUGUCGACCACGUAUACUUGCAUGUGCGUUUGGGAGCAACAAUAUAUUUAUGAAUUCUUUGAUGAUCGUACAAUGUAUGGUAAGGGGAGUUUAUAUAAGGGUACAAUAUGUAAUUGCUUUCCCCCACUUAAUUCUUGCUCGUUACUAAUAUUAUUUACAUUAAUAAUUGCCUGUUACUUGAAUUAUUCGUAACGGUUAUGGUAAUAAUAGACAAUCACGUAUAAUCAGGGAUUAUACUGAUUCAUUUUCCUUAUUCGCAACUAUUAAUUAAUCUUCCUCUUUUGCAGUCUUCAAUCAUGCAUCCCAUGCCUAUCUCUUUUUUUGUCACUUGUCAGAUACGAUAUCUUUAUAAAUAAUCCCGUAGGUGUUUUACCCACACCUCAUCAUUCUUCUUUAUUGCUCCAAUUCAAAUGCCCAUGUCAAUUUAUCAUUAAUCCACGUGUCAUAUCUAUUUUUUCACCAAUACAAUAGAUAACUUACCCUGAUGUAAGCAUUCGUGGUUGCUUUCACGGUUUGAACCCCGUGACCGAUAGGUCAUACGAAGACAACUUUACGGUUGCUCCAAGGCUCCUCCUAUCUCAUGUUAAUUAUCCGGGGCAUUAAAUAAAAAUUAUUUAUGCGGCGAAUAAUAAAGAAGGGAUUGUUGGAGACUUCUGACUAUGAAAAAUGCUUAGAGCAUGUGUGCGUGGAAAAGGAAAUGUAGGUUAAUUAACUAAUAUCAUUAGCAAUCAGCUAACAGUCAAUGUGAAACAGAUGAGAAGUGUUAAUUAUGUCUCUUAUCAAUCAUCAUCAAACGAAUUGACUUGGUCUUUAUUUGAAGUUGAUCAAAUUUUUAAUAUAUUAAAAUAUUAUGCCUAAGUUGGAAGCAACCUCCACUUCCACUUCCAACCGAGAGGUUGUGAGUUCGAGUCUCCCCAAGAGCAAGGUGGGAAGUUCUUGGAGGGAAGGAUGUCGGGGAACUAUUUUGGAAACAGUCUCUCUACCCUAGGGUAGGGGUAAGGUCUACGUACACACUACCCUCCCUGACCCCACUAAGUGGGAUUAUACUGGGUUGUUAUUGUUGUUGUUGUUGGAAAUAAACUAAACUCUCCGACCAACUUAUGAAGGUAGAGAAGUUAUUUCCGAAAAACCUCUGACUUAAAAAACAAUAAACUUUCAAUACUUUUAUUUUCAAGUUACUAAUAUAUACGUUCUUGUUCCACAUUAUUCUAUUCCGCAUAAAAUAAUGCAUAGAUUCCCACAUAAUUUAAUGUGAGUAUUGCUUAAUAUUGCAGCUGAAUGAUGCAUUAGUUGAGAACUUAUUACGCAGCCAACCAAAUAUUGCAUUAGUUAUGCAGGGAUUACUUUUUCUAAUCUUAUAAGUAAACAUUGUAUUAUAAUUUUAUUAUGAGAUUGUUUUAUCAAAUCCAUCCAACCAAAUGACCCACUAAUGAUUCUAAGUAUCUGGGCUGAUCUACAUAAUAUAAUGUCCAAGACAAGGCAAAGAACAAGAUCAUAUGGUAACAAAAAAAGAACCUUUAACUUGGAUCAAUUAAGAAGAAAGUUUAGAGCUUAAUUACCAUAUGUAACUAUAGUUUGCCUAAUUAUCAUUCGUGACUAUUGUUCAAUUGUUAUGAGCUUGUAUCAUUUGUAUUCAUUUGCUUUAAAUGGUUGUAUCAACCCAUACAAUACACUAAAAUAGUAAUACGUACAGUUACUUACUGUAUCACUAUAUGUGCCUUCAAUUCGCUCUGAAUGACUAUAUCAACGCAUACAAUAAACUGAAAUAUAGUGAUCUAUAUGUAUCAUUGUAGGUGACUCCAUAUACUGUAUACAUUGUAUUUACUGUUGGGAUUUUGCUACAAAAUACAAAGAGUAACUACAAAUUAUAAUUAUUUCAAAGUGUAUUUAUACGAAAAAUACAAUGUAUACCUAAUCGCCUUGCUUGGUUACUAUACAGAAAUUAUUAAUGCGUUCUUGUUAAUCCUAAUUCCACAGAAAUAUAGGCAUUAGGUUAGCUUGAAUAGGCGAGUUGUACUUCGGGAGAAGGCUACGAGUUAUAUUAUGAAAUCUGCCACACCAAGGAGACUACCCACUUGAAGGCCAAGAGUGCAAGAUGUGAUACCUAUUGCUUGGUUCAUUUAUUUUUAUACCACCACCCCAGGAAUGUGAUAGAAAAAUUGAUGCAAAAUUGGGGGCGCAAUUUAUAUCCUCAAAGUUGAAGGAAAAGUGGUGAAAGUGAUAGCGUCGUGCCACGACGUUAAAUCAAGCGCUUGUUGGGAGGCAACCCAGCUUGUAUUUUAAUUUUUUUUAUUUUUUAUUUUUUAUAUAGUGUCAAGUUUCGUGUUGUUUUUGUUUUGCAGAGUAGGGGAAGUCUGAGUACCCGAAGUUGAAUCUAAGGAGCAUGUUUGAGCUUAAAGGUGUGAGGUCGUCCCGACCCUUAAGAUUGAGGAUCAUGUCCGAGCUAGGCCCGAGAGGGUCUCAGGGAGUAUUUCUCACCUUUGUUGUAUUAUUUACUGUAUCAUUGUAGGUGACUCCAUAUACUGUAUACAUUGUAUUUACUGUUGGGAUUUUGCUACAAAAUACAAAGAGUACCUACAAAUUGUAAUUAUUUCAAAGUGUAUUUAUACGGAAAAUACAAUGUAUAAAUUAGUUACAUCAUGUAAUUUUUCCAUCAAUUAAAGGUGGAGUUUAAAUUUUUGUUCAAAUCUAAGGCUACUUUUUUCCUCUUGGCUGGCAGUUUUAGCUGUUCAAACAUGAAGACUUCUGACUAUGAAAAAUGCUAGAGCAUGUGUGUAUGGAAAGGGAAAGGUAGCUUAAUUAACUAAUAUCAUAAGCAAUUAGCUAAUAGCCAAUGGGAAACAGAUGAGAAGUGUUAAUUGUGUCUCUUAUCAUCAAAUAAAUUGACUUAGUCUUUAUUUGAAGUUGAUCAAAAUUCAAAUCUUCAAUAUUAAAUAUAUUAUGCCUAAGUUGGAAAUAAAUUAAACUCCCCACAGCUAACUUACACAUCGAAAAUCUAAAAUGUUAAUCGUAUAGCGUAGAAGUAAGGAUUUUUGGCAAGCAAUAAGACUUAAAUAAUACAAUUUAAGUGUAGCAUCUUCUUUCUCAUUUCGAGGAAAAGAUGCAGGAAGAAAAGGAAACAACAGAGUGAUCCAAAUCAGACCUAAAUGCCAAUGAUAUGAAGAGUUCCAUUCAAAACCGAACAUUAAAGGCGUUAUGACGAUAUACAAGAGAAAUACUGUUGUGGAGGAAAAGAUCUGUUUAUGAUAUAGUUCAAGAAAGAAUCGCCUCAUUUCCUUCAUUCUUAUUUAUUCACUUCAAGACUGGUUCUGAACGCCGAGUAAUUCCACAUCUAAGACUACCAAAAAUCCAUAUGCUACCUUUUCAAUGGUCAUGCAAGAAGUCUCAUCCAACAACACUUUCAAUAAUGUACAUUUCUCCAUUGAUAUAUGCAAUUAGCACACAAGCUCUUCUCAAUUUUACAACAACAUGCAUCUCUGCCCAAUAUUUACAGAAAUAUGAAGAAAGGCGAAGACAUCAACCUAUUUAGAAGUCAUCUCUCAAAACCAAGUUGUGUACAAUCUGGCUUGAAACUGCCACACUUCGCGUCCCCAGGAGUAGCACAAAAAGAGAAGCAUCUCAGGUGGAUGCCUUAAGAUGCUUAGAUCCAUGCUCUGGUGUCAGAUUUUCAGCUGCAGCACGUUUCAGUCUCAACUGCAAUACCAAGAACAUUCAGAACCAUGAAGGAAUAGAACACAUUUCACAAACAGAAAGAGGUAAGAAAAUACCCCUCUACCAUAUGAUAUAUCUUAA